This 217-nucleotide long non-coding RNA is filed under the name Lathyrus oleraceus (garden pea). RNAcentral describes it as "Pisum sativum (pea) long non-coding RNA (PSAT_LNC033363)". Lineage: Eukaryota; Viridiplantae; Streptophyta; Magnoliopsida; Fabales; Fabaceae. The record is from RNAcentral.
CCAUUGAGGAACCAGUUAUAAGUCCCUGUGAGUUGGCAUCUGUUCCCAUGACAUGGAAGGGGUAGAGUGUAAGACCUCAUUGGUCACUCAUACCCAUUGCCUAGUGCAUUUAUUUGUUGUAUGUGAGGAUUCAUUGUAAGUCCCUGUGAUGUGGCAUUUGUAUUCCUAGGAUCAUACUGUGGAGGUUAACAUAAGUCCAGAUGGAUUGGCAGUUGAC